CGUCUGGCUACCAGCUCCCCGCUGCCCUGCGCUUGGCGGGCUGGCAUCCAGCCUAGGGAAAAGCGGAGCAGGUCUGCGAGGCUAAGUGUCCCAGUGGCGCACCUAGAGGCGAGAAUCCGGAGGAGGAGGAGACUGCAAGGAUAGGCCCAGGAAAACGAAGAGAUGGAGCAGCCCAUGCAGAAUGCAGAGGAAGACCGCCCUUUGGGAGGAGGUGAAGGCCACCAGCCUGCAGGGAAUCGACGGGCACAGGCUCGCCGACUUGCCCCUAAUUUUCGAUGGGCCAUACCCAAUAGGCAGGUCAAUGAUGGGAUGGGUGGAGAUGGAGAUGAUAUGGAAAUAUUCAUGGAGGAGAUGAGAGAAAUCAGGAGAAAACUUAGGGAGCUGCAGUUGAGGAAUUGUCUGCGUAUGGGGAGCUCUCUAAUCACCAUGACCAUCAUGAUGAAUUUUGCCUUAUGCCUUGAUUCCUGCCAUUUAUCAUGAGAUUAAUACUGUGAUUCUCGCUGUUUUCCUUUUCCUUGCAUUUUCCUAAUAUGCCUUUACUGAUCCGUUUGCUGUGAACCCUAUGUUAUUUCCAUGUGUCAAGUGGGUCUUGUGUUGCCAGCUUCUAAUUGGAGAUUGCCUUUGCACUCAGUCUAAGUUUCUGUCAGCAGUAAAGUUUCACCCAUGUGCAUGGAAAAAUUUAAAGUUAAUAAAGCAAUUUAAAAAGCAA
This is an RNA transcript of Sapajus apella (tufted capuchin), 709 nucleotides long. It is a transcript of the gene named protein BEX3-like, with no coding region annotated. Lineage: Eukaryota; Metazoa; Chordata; Mammalia; Primates; Cebidae. The record is from RefSeq and is a predicted model, not a curated record. The transcript has a single exon.